UACGGGGGGAGCAAGCGUUGUUCGGAUUUACUGGGCGUAAAGGGCGCGUAGGCGGUCACGACAAGUCAGUUGUGAAAUCUCUGGGCUUAACUCAGAACGGUCAACUGAUACUGUCGGACUAGAGUGCAGAAGGGGCAACUGGAAUUCUCGGUGUAGCGGUGAAAUGCGUAGAUAUCGAGAGGAACACCUGCGGCGAAGGCGGGUUGCUGGGCUGACACUGACGCUGAGGCGCGAAAGCUAGGGGAGCGAACGGG
Molecule: ribosomal RNA, 254 nt
Filed under: uncultured bacterium
Lineage: Bacteria
Description: partial 16S ribosomal RNA
Rfam family: Bacterial small subunit ribosomal RNA
Source: RNAcentral